RNAcentral lists this ribosomal RNA (1284 nucleotides) under metagenome. Its description in RNAcentral is "bacterial SSU rRNA". It matches the Rfam family "Bacterial small subunit ribosomal RNA". The record is from RNAcentral.
AGACGGCAUACGAGAUGUGACUGGAGUUCAGACGUGUGCUCUUCCGAUCUCUCCACCCAGACUCAUCCAUCUUAGCGGUAAUAGAGAGUUUCUGUUGGUGCUGAUAUCACUGCCCGGACUCCUACGGGAGGCUGCAGUAACGAAUAUUCCACAAUGCGCGAAAGCGUGAUGGAGCGAUGCCGCGUGCAGGAUGAAGCCCUUCGGGGUGUAAACUGCUGUCAGGGAUUACCAACACAAUGAGGAAUCCCAGAGGAAGAGGCGGCUAACUCUGUGCCAGCAGCCGCGGUAAUACAGAGGCCUCGAGCGUUAAUCGGAAUUACUGGGCUUAAAGGGUGCGUAGGCGGAGCGAUAAGUGCCUUGUGAAAUCCCAUGGCUCAACCAUGGAAUUGCUCGGUAGACUAUCGUUCUUGAGGUAGGUAGGGGUCACUGGAACUCUAGGUGGAGCGGUGAAAUGCGUAGAUAUCUAGAGGAACGCCGAUGGUGAAGACAGGUGACUGGGCCUAUUCUGACGCUGAUGCACGAAAGCGUGGGGAGCAAACGGGAUUAGAUACCCCGGUAGUCCACGCCCUAAACUAUGUGUACUGGAUCGCAGAGACUAAUACGUCAUUGUGGUCGAAGUAAAAACGUUAAGUACACCGCCUGGGGAGUACGGUCGCAAGGCUAAAACUCAAAGAAAUUGACGGGGGCUCACACAAGCGGUGGAGCAUGUGGCUUAAUUCGAUCAACGCGAAGAACCUUAUCCUGGGCUUGACAUGUAUGGAUUAGCAGGCGGAAACGUCUGUGAGGCUCUUUGAGUACAACAUACACAGGUGCUGCAUGGCUGUCGUCAGCUCGUGCUGUGAAGUGUCGGGUUAAGUCCCUUAACGAGCGAAACCCCUGUCGCUAGUUGCCACCAGGUAAUGCUGAGCACUCUAGCGAGACUGCCGGUGUCAAACCGGAGGAAGGUGGGGAUGACGUCAAGUCCUCAUGGCCUUUAUGCCCAGGGCUGCACACGUGCUACAAUGGUGCGGUACAAAGCGAAGCGAGACCGUAAGGUGGAGCAAAUCGCAUAAAACGCACCCCAGUUCAGAUUGAGGUCUGCAACUCGACCUCAUGAAGUUGGAAUCGCUAGUAAUCGCGGAUCAGCUACGCCGCGGUGAAUGUGUUCCUGAGCCUUGUACACACCGCCCGUCAAGUCAUGGGAGCCGGGAGCACCCGAAGCCGCCACAAUUCAGUGGUGUCUACGGUGAGCUCGGUGACUGGGACUAAGUCGAAACAAGGUAGCCGUAGGGGAACCUGCGGCUG